CGAGGCUGGCCCCGGCCCCGCGCUCCAGCCCGCAGCAGAUGCCUGCCCGGCCCUCCCUCGCCGGCCAAACCCACUCGGAGCCCGCGGCUGCGGGAGCGCCCUGCGCAACCGUUGGACGCGGGCGGCGGGGACACGGCCGGCGCUUCCCGCAGGCGUCCGCCCUGUCCGCGCCCCCCUCAGCCGCGGGGCUGCCUCUCCCCCAGCCUUUGCGGCCCCAGCCGGGCACUCCGGAAAGUUGCUAGGGCCGAGGAGGCGGGAGGGGAGGAAGGGAGGAGAGAGGCGGAGGCGUGGACCAGGCGGGCAGCAGCCGAGCCCGCCGGGGAGCGCCGCGGCGAUCAGACCGGGGGCAUCCCUCCUACAGACCCCCGUCCCCUAGGGCAAGGGAAUAAGCGGCCACCGAGGACCCUGAGGUCUCACCAGAGCUGCCGUCGCCACUCGCCCCUUGAGUCGGCUCGGUGCGCGCUGGCGGCAGCCGGAGUAGCCCUAGAGGCGGCGGCAGUUCCCGCCCGGGUAGAGGCGCCACGGCGCACGCCAGCCCCGGGAAAAGCCCGCGCCGCCUCUGCGCCCAGCUGUGCCCUGGCCCUCGCGCCGCCCCCGAUCCCGCGGCGGCCGGUGCGCGUCUAGUCGGUGACCCCGGCGUAGGCCUGGUGCCAGGAGGGCGCGCGGGAGGCCGCGUGGGUGCAGGUCCGCGCGAGCAGACGCCCGGGGGACCGGCCUCGCCCCCCACCAGCCUUGACCCUCCGCCCCGCCGCCCGCGCCCGGCCCGGCUCUUACCGCGGGGUCAGCCGGGAGGCGGCGGCCGCAGCGCUCGGGCUGCCGCUUGUCCGCUCUGGGAUCGGCGCCAGCCCGGCCGCCGGUGCACACUCGCGCCGGUCCCGGCCCGGCAGUCCGAUCGGCGGUGACCGCUGGUGCGCGGCGGGCGAGGGUCCCGGCAGGUCCCGCCGCCGCGACUGGGGCGCUGCGCCGCCGUCGCUGCAGACGGUUAUGGUAAUGAGCGGCUCUGUCUAGCGAGGAGCGUGUGAAACCCGUCAAUCCUGUUUGCCAUUUCCCCGUGGAUUUCCGAGGAGAGGUUCUGCAGGAUGCCCCCAGGUGAUCCUCCGACUGUGAAAAACCAAACCUCUCGCUGCCUGGCUCCCUAGGAACCAAGGAGAGGCACAGACUGAAAAUCGGGGAGAAGAGGAACAAGAUCAAGGACGAGGAUUAGCAUCUGCAAAUUGAACUCCAUCUAAUUUGCAUGUUUAUUUCUUAGAAUUGUAAUUAAAUUUGUGUAAUAAAUGUUUUCCAUUUCAUUUGUACACUUAAAAUUUGGGUGACUGACAUGCAGUUAAGUGAAUUUCUUUUUUUUUUUAAGCAAAUGUAGUUUAUUGAAUA
Molecule: long non-coding RNA, 1371 nt
Filed under: Equus asinus (donkey)
Lineage: Eukaryota; Metazoa; Chordata; Mammalia; Perissodactyla; Equidae
Description: lncRNA (ENSEASG00005038335.1)
Source: RNAcentral